Molecule: ribosomal RNA, 497 nt
Filed under: uncultured bacterium
Lineage: Bacteria
Description: partial 16S ribosomal RNA
Rfam family: Bacterial small subunit ribosomal RNA
Source: RNAcentral
GAUGAACGCUGGCGGCGUGCCUAAUACAUGCAAGCCGAGCGAACGGACGAGAAGCUUGCUUCUCGGAUGUUAGCGGCGGACGGGUGAGUAACACGUGGAUAACCUACCUAUAAGACUGGGAUAACUUCGGGAAACCGGAGCUAAUACCGGAUAAUAUUUUGAACCGCAUGGUUCAAAAGUGAAAGACGGUCUUGCGGUCACUUAUAGAUGGAUCAGCGCUGCAUUAGCUAGUUGGUAAGGUAACGGCUUACCAAGGCAACGAUGCAUAGCCGACCUGAGAGGGUGAUCGGCCACACUGGAACUGAGACACGGUCCAGACUCCUACGGGAGGCAGCAGUAGGGAAUCUUCGGCAAUGGGCGAAAGCCUGAUGGAGCAACGCCGCGUGAGUGAUGAAGGUCUUCGGAUCGUAAAACUCUGUUAUUAGGGACGAAAAUAUGUGUAAGUAAAUGUGCACAUCUUGACGGUACCUAAUCAGAAAGCCACGGCUAACUACGUG